This 834-nucleotide ribosomal RNA is filed under the name Bacteroidetes bacterium enrichment culture clone D2CL_Bac_16S_Clone23. RNAcentral's name for it is "bacterial SSU rRNA". It matches the Rfam family "Bacterial small subunit ribosomal RNA", at positions 569 to 1403 of the family's 1533-position model. The record is from RNAcentral. Lineage: Bacteria; Pseudomonadati; Bacteroidota.
GCGCAGGCGGCAUGUUAAGUCGGCGGUGAAAUUUUGCAGCUCAACUGUAAAAGAGCCUUCGAAACUGGCAAGCUUGAGUGUGGAUGAAGUAGGCGGAAUUUGUGGUGUAGCGGUGAAAUGCAUAGAUAUCACAAAGAACACCGAUUGCGCAGGCAGCUUACUAAACCAUAACUGACGCUCAUGCACGAAGGCGUGGGGAUCAAACAGGAUUAGAUACCCUGGUAGUCCACGCAGUAAACGAUGAUUACUGGCUGUUUGCGAUACAAUGUAAGCGGCUGAGCGAAAGCGUUAAGUAAUCCACCUGGGGAGUACGUUCGCAAGAAUGAAACUCAAAGGAAUUGACGGGGGCCCGCACAAGCGGAGGAACAUGUGGUUUAAUUCGAUGAUACGCGAGGAACCUUACCCGGGCUUGAAAUGCAUCUGACGUAUUUGGAAACAGAUAUUCCCUACGGGGCAGAUGUGUAGGUGCUGCAUGGUUGUCGUCAGCUCGUGCCGUGAGGUGUCGGCUUAAGUGCCAUAACGAGCGCAACCCUCAUCGUCAGUUACCAUCAGGUAGAGCUGGGGACUCUGACGAGACUGCCAUCGUAAGAUGCGAGGAAGGUGGGGAUGACGUCAAAUCAGCACGGCCCUUACGUCCGGGGCGACACACGUGUUACAAUGGGUGGUACAAGGGCAGCUACCUGGCGACAGGAUGCUAAUCUCCAAAACCACUCUCAGNUUCGGAUCGGAGUCUGCAACUCGACUCCGUGAAGCUGGAUUCGCUAGUANUCGCGCAUCAGCCACGGCGCGGUGAAUACGUUCCCCGGGNCUUUGUACACACCGNCCCGUCAAGCC